RNAcentral lists this ribosomal RNA (468 nucleotides) under uncultured Trichococcus sp. RNAcentral's name for it is "bacterial SSU rRNA". It matches the Rfam family "Bacterial small subunit ribosomal RNA", at positions 336 to 796 of the family's 1533-position model. Lineage: Bacteria; Bacillati; Bacillota; Bacilli; Lactobacillales; Carnobacteriaceae. The record is from RNAcentral.
UUCCUACGGGGGGCUGCAGUAGGGAAUCUUCCGCAAUGGACGAAAGUCUGACGGAGCAACGCCGCGUGAGUGAAGAAGGUUUUCGGAUCGUAAAACUCUGUUGUCAGAGAAGAACAAGUUGGAGAGUAACUGCUCCAGCCUUGACGGUAUCUGACCAGAAAGCCACGGCUAACUACGUGCCAGCAGCCGCGGUAAUACGUAGGUGGCAAGCGUUGUCCGGAUUUAUUGGGCGUAAAGCGAGCGCAGGCGGUUCCUGAAGUCGGAUGGGAAAGCCCACGGCUCAACCGUGGAAGGUCAUUGGAAACUGGGGAACUUGAGUGCAGAAGAGGAGAGUGGAAUUCCAUGUGUAGCGGUGAAAUGCGUAGAUAUAUGGAGGAACACCAGUGGCGAAGGCGACUCUCUGGUCUGUAACUGACGCUGAGGCUCGAAAGCGUGGGGAGCAAACAGGAUUAGAUACCCCGGUAGUCA